Long non-coding RNA from Sciurus carolinensis (gray squirrel), 2070 nucleotides. RefSeq lists it as uncharacterized. The record is from RefSeq and is a predicted model, not a curated record. Lineage: Eukaryota; Metazoa; Chordata; Mammalia; Rodentia; Sciuridae. The transcript is spliced from 3 exons.
AUGUGAAAUGCUGUCUAUUCAUUCAAACAACCUUACUUAAAAAAUAAUAAUGCAAAUAAAAUAGUCUAGAUAUUCUCUUCAAUAUACAUUCAUAUGUACUCCUUAUAAACACAUAUCUACUAUCUUGAGUUCUGCAUCUUUUUCCAUAUAAUAUCAUACCCUAUUCUACUUCCAUCAGUUCUAUGUCCUUACUAUAUGUAUUUAUUUCCUAGGGCUGCUGUGACAAAUCACCACAAGUUAAUGGCUUCAAACAACAGACAUUUAUUCUCCCACAGAUCUGGAAGCCAGAAGUCCAAAACCAAGUUGUCUCCCACUGAAGACUCUAGAGAAGAAUCCUUCCUUGCUUCCUCCAGCUUCUGGUGGCUCUGUAUUCUUUGACUUUGGACGAUAUAUUUCAAAUCUCUGCCUCUAUCUCCACUUAGCCUUCUUCUGUUUCCAUAUCUUCUUCUCUUUUUCUCUUUAAAGGAAACAUGGUUUUUGAAUCCAGGACCUGCACUAAUCCAGGAUGGUCUCAUCUUGAUAUCCUUAAUUAUAGCCACAAAGACUCUUAUUCCAAGUAAUCAUAUUGAGGUUUUGGGUAGACAUAUUUUUUGAGGGGCCUCAAUUUGACCCACUAAUGCAUAUGAGUAGCUUUUAGUUCUUUGCAACUUUUUGCUAAUAUGAACAUAGCUCUAGAUAGAUUGCAUAUGAAAAUACUGUAAAUUACUAAGUCCUGGGUAAACCACUUAAGAUGACAGUACUAUUUUGUGGGGAAGGGGUAUUUUCUUGGGAUAGUUUUCAAAAGUGGAUUUACAACAUUAAUAAUGAGAAGAGUUUUUUUGUUUGUUUUUGUUUUUUGUUUUCCUGCUCUUGUAACAAACUGCCAGGAUGUGCAGUCCAGAAAGAUUAGAUCAUUUUGCAAUACCCUGUAGCAAUAUGUGAAAUAACUGAAAGGAAAAAAAAAAAAAGAGAGAGAGAGACAGUUUGACUAAUCAUUUCAAUAUCUGAUAGGAGAGAAAUACUGAGAAUGGCAAAAAAUAAACUAUAUACCAUGUAUCUCAGAGAGAAGGAGAAACAAUGACCCAAUUGCCUUAUCUUUCCUAUCUGCUACUCUAUCCCACAUAGAACUCUUGGUGCUGUUUUCAGGGCUGGCAGCUAAAGAAGGUGGCUACUUGAGACUUAGAUGCAGUGAGGGUAAAAGCUUAGGUUCUGGAGUCUAAUCUACUUGAACCAAAUUGUGAAGGAAUUUGUUUUUUCUUGGUUUCUGAACCUUCUGUGCUUUGCAAGUCUGUCCUUGACUCCAAGUGCCUGAGCACUUGGACCUGGGAGUUAAGAGAAAAUGAGUAGUUUUCUUCUGCUGAGUUUUAUGUGACUGAUUGGGGUCAUUUUAAAGCUUACUCCCUUCCAGGGCAGGUGAACAGGGAGCAAAGGUUAAAAUCUAAAGAAUUAAUACCUGAAAGUUGCAAUUUCUGACAUCAACCAGUUUGGAGGAGUGUUAAUGAGAUGGAAUCAGGGUCAGUUGGAAGAUACAGCCUUCUGCAACUUAACAGAACAACCCACCCCCCAUUCCCAAGGCUAACCCCAGCAAUGCAGGUGCUGGAAAGUGAUGGCUCUUCCUGUGUCUUUUCCUUCGGACUCCCAGGCUCCCUUUGCAGGUCAGAUUCCUGCUUACCUCUGCACAGAGUCAUGUUAAUCACUUAAGGAGUGUUCAUCUAAAGCUGAUCAUUUCCCCCUUCCAGACUGAAGACACCAAGAUAAGAAUAAUUAAGGUAUUUUCAAGAUUUGCAGGGAGAUUCAACUAUCAGCUUUUAUAACAUCCUGUUCAAGACCCCUUGGACUGGUUCUGUCUUUUUCUAGACCCCCUGGGAUGGCAUCUAGAAGUCUCCUGUCAUUGCCCAACACCUUCCAGGAACAACGGAACCUUGUAGGCAGAUCAGUGGUAAGACUGCCCCCUCUAAGCAGGACUAUUGGUUUUAUGGGAGCAGAAUUGUCCUUUUUCCAGAAUCACAGGUCUGAUAGAGAAAGAUCUUGAGCAGCAAAUGGAGACACCCUACUCAAGUGAAAAUAACUUACCAGAGCCACCUAGCAGAA